CACCAGCAGAGGUUGUUCCCAUUUGCAGCUGAAGAGCAUCCUCUUGACCAUGAGUCCAUGGAGACGUGAGCCCCAGCAGCACUUUUUCUCCGGCUCCUAUUAAAACAAGAAGUACCUGCGGAUACAUCUGCUUUUCCCACCGGAGCACAGGCCCUGAUGUUUGCAGUGCUCCAGGCAAAAGAACAAAUGGAAGCCCAUAUCACGGAAUCUAAAUAUUUAAAAAUCAUAAAUCAAGCUACAAACUGCUAAUAAAAUAUGUUCUAGCCUCCUACUCAACAAAUAAACUUUCAUAACAAUAAAAAAAAUCUGUAAAUCUG
Molecule: long non-coding RNA, 317 nt
Organism: Hipposideros armiger (great roundleaf bat)
Lineage: Eukaryota; Metazoa; Chordata; Mammalia; Chiroptera; Hipposideridae
Exons: 2
Source: RefSeq, a predicted model, not a curated record